RNAcentral lists this ribosomal RNA (468 nucleotides) under uncultured bacterium. Its description in RNAcentral is "partial 16S ribosomal RNA". It matches the Rfam family "Bacterial small subunit ribosomal RNA", at positions 28 to 507 of the family's 1533-position model. The record is from RNAcentral.
GACGAACGCUGGCGGCGUGCUUAACACAUGCAAGUCGAACGGAAAGGCCCUGCUUUUGUGGGGUGCUCGAGUGGCGAACGGGUGAGUAACACGUGAGUAACCUGCCCUUGACUUUGGGAUAACUUCAGGAAACUGGGGCUAAUACCGGAUAGGAGCUCCUGCUGCACGGUGGGGGUUGGAAAGUUUCGGCGGUUGGGGAUGGACUCGCGGCUUAUCAGCUUGUUGGUGGGGUAGUGGCUUACCAAGGCUUUGACGGGUAGCCGGCCUGAGAGGGUUACCGGCCACAUUGGGACUGAGAUACGGCGCAGAAUCCUACGGGAGGCAGCAGUGGGGAAUAUUGCACAAUGGGCGGAAGCCUGAUGCAGCAACGCCGCGUGCGGGAUGACGGCCUUCGGGUUGUAAACCGCUUUCGCCUGUGACGAAGCGUGAGUGACGGUAAUGGGUAAAGAAGCACCGGCUAACUACGUG